This is a long non-coding RNA of Tachysurus vachellii, 146 nucleotides long. RefSeq lists it as uncharacterized. NCBI's taxonomy places the organism in Eukaryota, Metazoa, Chordata, Actinopteri, Siluriformes, Bagridae. The transcript is spliced from 3 exons. The record is from RefSeq and is a predicted model, not a curated record.
UUACAGCCAGUCUCCGCCACCAGGGAGCUCACUUCUUUUCAGCUUUUCUGAGUGAUUGCAGCCAUUUACACAGAUGUUGAUGACUUAAACCCUUGGUACUUUUGAGUCCCAAAGUCCACUGUCAUCAUGUCUGACACAGAGGAUGU